CGGGGGGGUAGCUUGCUACCUGCCGGCGAGUGGCGAACGGGUGAGUAAUACAUCGGAACGUGCCCUGUAGUGGGGGAUAACUAGUCGAAAGACUAGCUAAUACCGCAUACGACCUGAGGGUGAAAGUGGGGGACCGCAAGGCCUCAUGCUAUAGGAGCGGCCGAUGUCUGAUUAGCUAGUUGGUGGGGUAAGGGCCCACCAAGGCGACGAUCAGUAGCUGGUCUGAGAGGACGAUCAGCCACACUGGGACUGAGACACGGCCCAGACUCCUACGGGAGGCAGCAGUGGGGAAUUUUGGACAAUGGGGGCAACCCUGAUCCAGCAAUGCCGCGUGUGUGAAGAAGGCCUUCGGGUUGUAAAGCACUUUUGUCCGGAAAGAAAUCGCACUGGUUAAUACCUGGUGUGGAUGACGGUACCGGAAGAAUAAGGACCGGCUAACUACGUGCCAGCAGCCGCGGUAAUACGUAGGGUCCAAGCGUUAAUCGGAAUUACUGGGCGUAAAGCGUGCGCAGGCGGUUGUGCAAGACCGAUGUGAAAUCCCCGGGCUUAACCUGGGAAUUGCAUUGGUGACUGCACGGCUAGAGUGUGUCAGAGGGAGGUAGAAUUCCACGUGUAGCAGUGAAAUGCGUAGAGAUGUGGAGGAAUACCGAUGGCGAAGGCAGCCUCCUGGGAUAACACUGACGCUCAUGCACGAAAGCGUGGGGAGCAAACAGGAUUAGAUACCCUGGUAGUCCACGCCCUAAACGAUGUCAACUAGUUGUUGGGGAUUCAUUUCCUUAGUAACGUAGCUAACGCGUGAAGUUGACCGCCUGGGGAGUACGGUCGCAAGAUUAAAACUCAAAGGAAUUGACGGGGACCCGCACAAGCGGUGGAUGAUGUGGAUUAAUUCGAUGCAACGCGAAAAACCUUACCUACCCUUGACAUGCCACUAACGAAGCAGAGAUGCAUUAGGUGCUCGAAAGAGAAAGUGGACACAGGUGCUGCAUGGCUGUCGUCAGCUCGUGUCGUGAGAUGUUGGGUUAAGUCCCGCAACGAGCGCAACCCUUGUCUCUAGUUGCUACGAAAGGGCACUCUAGAGAGACUGCCGGUGACAAACCGGAGGAAGGUGGGGAUGACGUCAAGUCCUCAUGGCCCUUAUGGGUAGGGCUUCACACGUCAUACAAUGGUGCAUACAGAGGGUUGCCAAGCCGCGAGGUGGAGCUAAUCCCAGAAAAUGCAUCGUAGUCCGGAUCGUAGUCUGCAACUCGACUACGUGAAGCUGGAAUCGCUAGUAAUCGCGGAUCAGCAUGCCGCGGAUCC
Molecule: ribosomal RNA, 1299 nt
Filed under: Ralstonia solanacearum
Lineage: Bacteria; Pseudomonadati; Pseudomonadota; Betaproteobacteria; Burkholderiales; Burkholderiaceae
Description: bacterial SSU rRNA
Rfam family: Bacterial small subunit ribosomal RNA
Source: RNAcentral